RNAcentral lists this ribosomal RNA (287 nucleotides) under uncultured bacterium. RNAcentral's name for it is "partial 16S ribosomal RNA". It matches the Rfam family "Bacterial small subunit ribosomal RNA", at positions 333 to 612 of the family's 1533-position model. The record is from RNAcentral.
GUAGGCCUACGGGAGGCAGCAGUAGGGAAUCUUCCACAAUGGACGAAAGUCUGAUGGAGCAACGCCGCGUGAGUGAAGAAGGGUUUCGGCUCGUAAAGCUCUGUUGGUAGUGAAGAAAGAUAGAGGUAGUAACUGGCCUUUAUUUGACGGUAAUUACUUAGAAAGUCACGGCUAACUACGUGCCAGCAGCCGCGGUAAUACGUAGGUGGCAAGCGUUGUCCGGAUUUAUUGGGCGUAAAGCGAGUGCAUGCGGGUCAAUAAGUCUGAUGUGAAAGCCUUUGGGGCAA